UACGUAGGGGGCGAGCGUUGUCCGGAUUUAUUGGGCGUAAAGAGCUCGUAGGCGGCUCAGUAAGUCAGGUGUGAAACCUCCAGGCUCAACCUGGAGACGCCACCUGAUACUGCUGUGGCUAGAGUCCGGUAGGGGAGCGUGGAAUUCCUGGUGUAGCGGUGAAAUGCGCAGAUAUCAGGAGGAACACCAGCGGCGAAGGCGGCGCUCUGGGCCGGAACUGACGCUGAGGAGCGAAAGCGUGGGUAGCAAACAGG
RNAcentral lists this ribosomal RNA (254 nucleotides) under uncultured bacterium. RNAcentral describes it as "partial 16S ribosomal RNA". It matches the Rfam family "Bacterial small subunit ribosomal RNA", at positions 524 to 776 of the family's 1533-position model. The record is from RNAcentral.